AUUGCUUCUUGGCCUUUUGGCUAAGAUCAAGUGUAGUAUCUGUUCUUAUCAGUUUAAUAAUCUGGAGCUUACAUUCUAAUAGGAGACACAAACAAGGAACAAACAAGCAAAAAACCAAAU
This is a small nuclear RNA of 120 nucleotides. Its record names the gene U2. It matches the Rfam family "U2 spliceosomal RNA". From Rfam's summary of the family: U2 is a small nuclear RNA (snRNA) component of the spliceosome (involved in pre-mRNA splicing). Complementary binding between U2 snRNA (in an area lying towards the 5' end but 3' to hairpin I) and the branchpoint sequence (BPS) of the intron results the bulging out of an unpaired adenosine, on the BPS, which initiates a nucleophilic attack at the intronic 5' splice site, thus starting the first of two transesterification reactions that mediate splicing. The record is from Ensembl.